RNAcentral lists this ribosomal RNA (862 nucleotides) under Enterococcus faecium. RNAcentral's name for it is "bacterial SSU rRNA". It matches the Rfam family "Bacterial small subunit ribosomal RNA", at positions 56 to 889 of the family's 1533-position model. Lineage: Bacteria; Bacillati; Bacillota; Bacilli; Lactobacillales; Enterococcaceae. The record is from RNAcentral.
UGCAAGUCGUACGCUUCUUUUUCCACCGGAGCUUGCUCCACCGGAAAAAGAGGAGUGGCGAACGGGUGAGUAACACGUGGGUAACCUGCCCAUCAGAAGGGGAUAACACUUGGAAACAGGUGCUAAUACCGUAUAACAAUCGAAACCGCAUGGUUUUGAUUUGAAAGGCGCUUUCGGGUGUCGCUGAUGGAUGGACCCGCGGUGCAUUAGCUAGUUGGUGAGGUAACGGCUCACCAAGGCCACGAUGCAUAGCCGACCUGAGAGGGUGAUCGGCCACAUUGGGACUGAGACACGGCCCAAACUCCUACGGGAGGCAGCAGUAGGGAAUCUUCGGCAAUGGACGAAAGUCUGACCGAGCAACGCCGCGUGAGUGAAGAAGGUUUUCGGAUCGUAAAACUCUGUUGUUAGAGAAGAAUAAGGAUGAGAGUAACUGUUCAUCCCUUGACGGUAUCUAACCAGAAAGCCACGGCUAACUACGUGCCAGCAGCCGCGGUAAUACGUAGGUGGCAAGCGUUGUCCGGAUUUAUUGGGCGUAAAGCGAGCGCAGGCGGUUUCUUAAGUCUGAUGUGAAAGCCCCCCGGCUCAACCGGGGAGGGUCAUUGGAAACUGGGAGACUUGAGUGCAGAAGAGGAGAGUGGAAUUCCAUGUGUAGCGGUGAAAUGCGUAGAUAUAUGGAGGAACACCAGUGGCGAAAGCGGCUCUCUGGUCUGUAACUGACGCUGAGGCUCGAAAGCGUGGGGAGCAAACAGGAUUAGAUACCCUGGUAGUCCACGCCGUAACGAUGAGUGCUAAGUGUUGGAGGGUUUCCGCCCUUCAGUGCUGCAGCUAACGCAUUAAGCACUCCGCCUGGGAGUACGACCGC